Molecule: ribosomal RNA, 433 nt
Filed under: uncultured bacterium
Lineage: Bacteria
Description: partial 16S ribosomal RNA
Rfam family: Bacterial small subunit ribosomal RNA
Source: RNAcentral
AACGAACGCUGGCGGCAUGCCUAACACAUGCCAGUCGAACGAGACCUUCGGGUCUAGUGGCGCACGGGUGCGUAACGCGUGGGAACCUGCCCUUAGGUUCGGAAUAACUCCCCGAAAGGGGUGCUAAUACCGGAUAAUGUCUUCGGACCAAAGAUUUAUCGCCUUUGGAUGGGCCCGCGUUGGAUUAGCUAGUUGGUAGGGUAAAAGCCUACCAAGGCGACGAUCCAUAGCUGGUCUGAGAGGAUGAUCAGCCACACUGGGACUGAGACACGGCCCAGACUCCUACGGGAGGCAGCAGUGGGGAAUAGUGGACAAUGGGCGAAAGCCUGAUCCAGCAAUGCCGCGUGAGUGAUGAAGGCCUUAGGGUUGUAAAGCUCUUUUACCCGGGAUGAUAAUGACAGUACCGGGAGAAUAAGCUCCGGCUAACUCCGUG